GCCGUCACCCAAGGGAAGCUAGCCUUCUGUGAGGAAGGAAGGUACGGGAACUAGGAAGGGGAGUAUGUACCCAGGACAAAGUUUCUCGAUGGAAACUCUCUCCAAAAAUAACAUUCAAGUUAGAAAUGAGUGGAUUAAACUAGGCAGCAGAAACUGUUCAAAAGAGGAAAAUCAACUGGAAUCUCCGGUCAGCAAUAAGGACAACAAGCAUGGUGUCCUGAGCCCAGACUGCCACUGCUCCUCAACGCUGUCAGGAAGACAACAGGAUACAGAAAGAAGACCUUGUGCUGAGCCAGGCGGUCAGGCCUUGCCCUGGGGCCACCGAUCUUCCUGGUGUUACGGGGCCUCACAGACAGUAGCCUGGUAGUAAUUUUGAAGAUGCAGUGAACUUGAGCAACGGACUGAAUCCACUCACAGCAUAUAGAAAUGUGUUCUGUUUGUCCAGAAAGAUGCAGGUUCUUCUUAUUAGCACUUGGCAGUAAAAAUUCCUCCAAGUGGGAAUUUUAGACAUGACUGGCUGCUGAGGAUAGAGAACCUGUUACAGAUCUAAGUCUGGGAUCCAGGUAGAACCAGGGCCCAGAGCUCCUUACGGUCUGCUUGUUGGUUGAACUCGCUGGACCCCAUUGUCAUCAAUCUUUCCCUGAAGCAUCUGGAGUCUGAGGAAAUCAUGUCCUGACCCCAAGGCUUCACAAGCAGGAACCUCAC
Myodes glareolus (Bank vole) is the source of this 705-nucleotide long non-coding RNA. RefSeq lists it as uncharacterized. NCBI's taxonomy places the organism in Eukaryota, Metazoa, Chordata, Mammalia, Rodentia, Cricetidae. The record is from RefSeq and is a predicted model, not a curated record.